This is a non-coding RNA of Rhineura floridana, 69 nucleotides long. NCBI's taxonomy places the organism in Eukaryota, Metazoa, Chordata, Lepidosauria, Squamata, Rhineuridae. The record is from the annotation of a RefSeq genome assembly.
GCUGUAGCUCAGUGGCAGAGCAUUUGCCUUGGAUGCAGAAGGUCCCUGGUUCAAUCCCAGGCAUCUCCA